UCACUCUGUGUUGCUGCACCAUUUCUUUUCACAUCUAUAUUAUUUACUUGACACUACAUUACUUUCCAUUUUUGCGCUCUGGAAGCACCUUGUAGGUCACGUUGUAGGUUAUGUUGUCACAGUACUUUUUUUUUGGUUAACGCUAAAAGCAAACGAAAAUGUGUUUUGGGCAUGUUGGAUGUAAUCCAAUGGUACAAACAGAUGGCGAGAAAGACGGAUGGACAGACAGUGCUGGGGUAUUUGAGGUUCUGAGCGAUUACAGAAAAAAGCUUCGAAAGAAUUCCAAGUUUUGUUUACCACACACACACACACACACACACACUUGAUUGCACCACAGGCAAAUCACACUUACUUUAAAUGAAUGCAUACAUCCAUAUGUGCAUGCAUGCAUGUUAUGUGUCGGAAGGAUGGGAUACAGUAAAGGCUGAGUGGCUCACGCAUGCGAAUAGGCUCUAAAUAUGGGUUGGGGGAGGGAGGUGAGGUAGGAAGGUGUCGGGGGAGGAGGGGGGGUGCGCACGCGGACAGAAGCAAAAUAAAAGGCACUCCCUCCCUCCUUGCCUCGCUUUUCGAUCCGAUCACAUUUUCUAACCGGAUUCCUCUUAAACGAGUCGACACGUCGGCGGACACGAUUGAGCGCCUCCCCAACCGAACCGACAGCUACGGUAGAUUCACUCGCUGCCUCCCUUCCCCCUCGACAAAUAAAUAAGCCAUUUUCAACAAAUUCUCUUCUGCUCUCGUCGGAACAAGUUGGCGACGACCCCGAUCGAGAGUGCCUUGUUGUUGGCUGUGAGUCUGCACACGUCAUGGAAGAAGCGGAAAGAGUGUGGAGGAGUUAUUUUAUGUUUUGUUUUGUUUUUUUUUUUAUAUGACAGUCAGUGUGUGAUCAGCGCUUGGCACUGGUGUGGCCACUUUGAGGUGGAGUUUGCAGUGACUUAACUCCUACACUGGAAAGUUCCAAUGUCUAUUUUUCCAACACUUUUUCAGCAUACGUACACAUUUUUCGUCCAUUUACGACUUUGUACAUGACUGUUUUUUUUUUUGUUUGUGUACCGUUGACACUCAAGUUUUAUGGCUUAUAAUACUUUGACAUUUUUUGGUCCUGGAAAGGGUACAAUUUUCGCUCAAAUGAAUAUAAAUGUAUUAUUUGUCUCGGUUCCAAUGUUUUUCCAUUUUCUACCCUUGACACUUGACAUUUACAGCUUAAGAAAACACAUGUACCGUUUUUGGUUCUGGUAAGACGACAGUAAGUCUAAUAAUUAUUUAGCUUGACUCGAAUACUGCAGGGUUACAAUAUUGCUACUGUUUUGUCGUCUUUACAAUUCACUUUUACAGCAUACCGGUAUAUAUUUGGUCCCGUAAAAAGGCACAAUAAAUCCAAUGAAGGAGCUCAAGCAACAUAAAUGGAUUGCUAGCGAGAGAGUUCCAAUGCAAUCCUCCACUUCCCCAAACAAUCCCGGCCUCCCCACUCCCGUUUAGAUCCAUGACACUCGAGCUUUACAGCACCUGGAUCAUUUUUGGUUCAGGAAAAAGCCAAAUGACCUGAACUCUUGUACAGCUGGGAUCCAGUGAUUUGCAGCACGCAUGCACAUUUUGCACAUUUGCAGAAUUCCAUUUUUUUGGUUUUUAUACCUUUGACACUUAAUGUUCAGAAUGCACCGGUGCCUUUUUGGGUAUGAUAAAUACAAUAAUGAUGUUUGAGUGCCAUACUUUCUUUUUGGCAGGAUUUCAUUGUUUUUGGCCAUUUCUAUACCCUUGACACUUGACUUUUAAAGCAUAACGGUGCCUUUUUGGGCCAAGUAAAACGUUCAAUAAUACAAUAAUAUGUCCUCUGGGCUGCAUUUCCAACAGUGUUUUAUGUAAUUGUACAGACUAAUUAGCUUCAUUUCGUUUUCUUACGACAUUGUUUGCCUUGCACUUUACCAGUGGAUGAAAAUGUGUGUGAAGCUGCUGCUGCUGCUGCUGCUGCUGCUGGUGGGGGUGCACCGGGAUAACAAACAAGUCCUAGACUACCACUCCCUGGGAAUCUCUUCCCCACCAUGAUGAGGAUAUAACAGGAUUCUGUGUCUGAAAAGGACCUCAAGACAUGACUUUGAUAAGAGGCCCGCGACGAGAGGGGAAAAUACCGGACGACUUACCGCGAUGGAGUUGAACCUCGCAGCCGUUUCAAGCUCACUGGUGCGGGAGUCCAGCCAGCCGGGGGCACCGCUUCUCAAUACUCCGAUCCAACGAGUCCUCUUCCCGAUCGCUCUCUCUUUCGAUCUAUCGUUUGAAGUUCGUUUUAAAAACAAUUCGCAGCUCUGUUCACCAGCGCCUCCACCACUUCCACCUCCCCGGAACCGCCAGCCCUGCUCGGCCAGCUCGGCUGGCUUGUAGCCGCUAAACGGAGCCGAGUGCACGGAGCUUCUCGCUUGGCGCAGCCGCCUCCGGCCAGCGUGCGGAACAACAGCUCAGGCGGCAGACAGCGGAAUCCGAAUGGAAAAGUCUGCAGGCUGCUGGACGAUUCCUGGCUUUUCUCCAAAUGUUUAAAAAGAAGCGGAGGUGAAGAAGGGACGUCUACAUCCUUCUCUCGCGCGCGCCGCCGGAGCAUGUGAUGGCAACAUGGUGAGCCUUUUAAAGGGGUAUCCACGCGUGACGGUGUACCGUUGGGCAAGCGCACGUCGCGCACGCACGCGUAGGACACGUAUGCACGACCCGCCCUGAUAACUUUGCAGGAGGGGUCCACUGUGACGUCACCGGACACGAGCACCUGUAUACUCUACUUAAUCCACCUGAGUGCCUGUUGCAUUACUUACUCACCUUUUAUUCGUAACAAAAUUAGGGUAAAAUAAAGUGUAUAUGUCUCAUCAAUCAUCUUUUCCCAUUGAAAUAAAUGGAGAUGCUAUUAAUCCAUUCCAGUCCCAGUAAAAGAGAGGCAGGCAGAUGCACUGUUCAUUGAGAUGUCGCAACUCUUUUAAGCUCAUCAGUACGGCACAAAUACUUGCUGUUCUUCACAGAUGAUAAAGAACACAUCACUUUGAGUGCUAUAUUUUCUCUCUACAUGUGUUGUUGCACCAUUUGUGUUCAACCUGUUGUAAUAGGUGACAUAGAUGGGAAUUAGCCUCCAGUGUAAGAUAUUGGACUGGAGUGCUCAUUUUCCCUCCUGUUUUAAAUACACUAUGUCUUUUUUUUUAUGUUCAGUGUAACAGCAAACUUCAACUGGGAGAGGGAAUAAACAGCUUGAAGCUUC
Long non-coding RNA from Hippocampus comes (tiger tail seahorse), 3226 nucleotides. RefSeq lists it as uncharacterized. The record is from RefSeq and is a predicted model, not a curated record. Lineage: Eukaryota; Metazoa; Chordata; Actinopteri; Syngnathiformes; Syngnathidae. The transcript has 2 exons.